This 758-nucleotide ribosomal RNA is filed under the name Chryseobacterium sp. B0604a. RNAcentral describes it as "bacterial SSU rRNA". It matches the Rfam family "Bacterial small subunit ribosomal RNA", at positions 39 to 794 of the family's 1533-position model. The record is from RNAcentral. Lineage: Bacteria; Pseudomonadati; Bacteroidota; Flavobacteriia; Flavobacteriales; Weeksellaceae.
GUGCAUCGGUAGCUACACAUGCAGCCGAGCGGUAGAGAUUCUUCGGAAUCUUGAGAGCGGCGUACGGGUGCGGAACACGUGUGCAACCUGCCUUUAUCAGGGAGAUAGCCUUUCGAAAGGAAGAUUAAUACCCCAUAAUAUAUUAAGUGGCAUCACUUGAUAUUGAAAACUACGGUGGAUAGAGAUGGGCACGCGCAAGAUUAGAUAGUUGGUGGGGUAACGGCCCACCAAGUCUACGAUCUUUAGGGGGCCUGAGAGGGUGAUCCCCCACACUGGUACUGAGACACGGACCAGACUCCUACGGGAGGCAGCAGUGAGGAAUAUUGGACAAUGGGUGAAAGCCUGAUCCAGCCAUCCCGCGUGAAGGACGACGGCCCUAUGGGUUGUAAACUUCUUUUGUAUAGGGAUAAACCUAGAUACGUGUAUCUAGCUGAAGGUACUAUACGAAUAAGCACCGGCUAACUCCGUGCCAGCAGCCGCGGUAAUACGGAGGGUGCAAGCGUUAUCCGGAUUUAUUGGGUUUAAAGGGUCCGUAGGCGGAUCUGUAAGUCAGUGGUGAAAUCUCACAGCUUAACUGUGAAACUGCCAUUGAUACUGCAGGUCUUGAGUGUUGUUGAAGUAGCUGGAAUAAGUAGUGUAGCGGUGAAAUGCAUAGAUAUUACUUAGAACACCAAUUGCGAAGGCAGGUUACUAAGCAACAACUGACGCUGAUGGACGAAAGCGUGGGGAGCGAACAGGAUUAGUACCCCCUGGGUAAA